This 459-nucleotide ribosomal RNA is filed under the name uncultured bacterium. RNAcentral's name for it is "partial 16S ribosomal RNA". It matches the Rfam family "Bacterial small subunit ribosomal RNA", at positions 338 to 795 of the family's 1533-position model. The record is from RNAcentral.
CCUACGGGAGGCAGCAGUGAGGAAUAUUGGUCAAUGGCCGAGAGGCUGAACCAGCCAAGUCGCGUGAGGGAAGACGGCCCUACGGGUUGUAAACCUCUUUUGUAGGGGAGCAAAGAGAGUCACGUGUGACUCAUUGAGAGUACCCGAAGAAAAAGCAUCGGCUAAAUCCGUGCCAGCAGCCGCGGUAAUACGGAGGAUGCGGGCGUUAUCCGGAUUUAUUGGGUUUAAAGGGUGCGCAGGCGGAGGUGCAAGUCAGCGGUAAAAUUGCGGGGCUCAACCCCGUACUGCGGUUGAAACUGCAUCCCUUGAGUGCGCGAGAGGUAUGCGGAAUGCGUGGUGUAGCGGUGAAAUGCAUAGAUAUCACGCAGAACUCCGAUUGCGAAGGCAGCAUACCGGCGCGCAACUGACGCUCAUGCACGAAAGCGUGGGUAUCGAACAGGAUUAGAUACCCGAGUAGUC